This 1841-nucleotide ribosomal RNA is filed under the name metagenome. RNAcentral's name for it is "bacterial LSU rRNA". It matches the Rfam family "Bacterial large subunit ribosomal RNA", at positions 938 to 2925 of the family's 2925-position model. The record is from RNAcentral.
ACUAUUGGAAGUUAACCUCAGAAGAAGAAUAUCUUGAUCAGAAACUGACAGUCUAUUUGUGAUAAGGUAAAUAGACAAAAGGGAAACAGCCCAGAUCAUAAAUUAAGGUCCCUAAUAAAUAUUUAGUGAACAUAAGAAGGUCUUUUAUCUAAUACAACUACAAAGUAAGCUUGGAAGUAGCUAUCUUUUAAUGAAAGUGUAACAACUCAAUAGUCUAAUGGAUAAAAGGCAUCGAAGAUUAACGGGUCUGAAAUAUUUAACCUACAUUAUGGUAUAUAUACAUUUUUAUUUUUCAUAUAGAAAUGUAUAUGUAGGUAGCAGAACACUUAGUAUGAGAGUGAAGAAGUGUAUAAAUACAUUUUGGACUAUACUAAAGAGAGAAUGCUGGCAUGAGUAACGAUUAAGAAGUUAAAAUACUUCUCGCCGAACACGAAAGGGUUUUAUGGAAAAGGUAAUCUGCCAUAAUUUAUACGGUUUCUAAGGAAAAUAAACGAAUUGUUAUUUUCUGAUGAAGAAUAGAAAUCAUAGAGAAAGAAUCUUUCUUCUAGAAAAAGAUUUCUACUAUUGAUAGUAACCGUACCUGAAACCGACACAGGUUCGUGGGUAGAGUAUACUAAGGCGUAGAGAUAAGGCUAGUGAAGGAACUCGGCAAAAUGCUUCUGUAAGUUCGACGAUAAAGAAGAAGUUAUAAUUUAGAAUCAUUUUAUGAUUCUUUUAUAACUUGUCACAAAAGUGAGGGCUUCGACUGUUUACUAAAAACAUAGCAACUUGCUAAGACGAAAAGUACUUGUAUAAGUUGUGAACUCUGUCCAAUGCCAUUUGUUUAAGGAAGGGAAUCUUCUUCCGGGAAGUGUUCCUGACUGAUGCGGUGGUGAAUGACGGUCUUAACUAUAAGGAUCUGAAAGUAGCGAAAUUCCUUGGCCAUUAAAUGUGGUCCUGCAUGAAUGAGGUAACGCGGCCCUGCUGUCUCCACUAGCUUCUCAGUGAAAUUGAAUUAGCCGUGCAGAUGCGGUUUGCCUUCCGGAGGACGCGAAGACCCUAUGCAGCUUUACUGUAUUCUGAUAUUGUUAUUCGUGAUAUAUAGUGUAGAAUACAAGGGAGUGUAACAUCCGUGAAAUACCUUGAUAUAUUGAAUGGAAUAACUUAUUUUUUCUAAAAAGACAGUAUCAGAUGGUCAGUUUUACUGGGGCGGUAGCCUCUAAGAAAGUAUCAGAGGCCUUCAAAGGUAUACUUACAUUGGUCAGAAACCAAUAGAUAAUUGUAUCUAUCAAAAUGUAAUGAUAAAAGUAUGCUUUACUGAAAGAUUGAUAGAUCGAUCAGUUACGCAAGUAGGAUAUAGUGAUCCGAUGAUUCAGAAUGGAAUGAUCAUCGCUCAAGAAAUAAAAGUUACGCUAGGGAUAACAGGUUUAUCGUCUGCAAGAGUUCAUAUUGUCCAGACGGUUUGACACCUCGAUGUCGACUCUUCUCAUCCUCCAGGUGUAGUAGCUUGGAAGGGUUCAGCUGUUCGCUGAGUAAAGAGGAACGUGAGUUGGGUUUAAUACGACGUGAGUCAGUAUAGAUUCUAUCCUCGGAAGGGAACAAGAAUAGAAGAAGAACCUCUAAUUUGUACGAAAGGACCGUUAGAGAGAAUUCCAUGGUGUAUCUAUUGUUGUAGAAAUAUGGCACAGUAGAGUAGCUACAAUUCUAAAAGAUAAAUACUGAAAGCAUAUCAAGUGUGAAACAGAUCUUCUGAUAUUCUCAAAUAAGAAAAAGACUAUUUCUAGUCUAGGAUGUGAAUGUAUGUUAAACAUUUCUAAUGUAUUGAUCAAACUUAAUUGUACCAUAUUGUUCACCUAUUUUUC